CCUACGGGAGGCAGCAGUCGGGAAUAUUGCGCAAUGGAGGAAACUCUGACGCAGUGACGCCGCGUAAAGGAAGAAGGUUUUAGGAUUGUAAACUAUUGUCGUUAGGGGAGAUAAAAGACUGUACCUAAGGAGGAAGCCCCGGCUAACUAUGUGCCAGCAGCCGCGGUAAUAACUAGGGGGCACGCGUUAUCCGGAAUUAUUGGGUGUAAAGGGUGCGUAGACGGAAGAACAAGUUGGUUGUGAAAUCCCUCGGCUCAACUGAGGAAUUGCAACUAAAACUAUCCGCCUUGAGUGUCGGAGAGGAGAGUGGAAGUCGUGGUGUAGCGGUGAAAUGCGUAGAUAUUAGGAAGAACACCAGUGGCGAAGGCGACUUUCUGGACAAUAACUGACGUUGAGGCACGAAAGUGUGGGGAGCAAACAGGAUUAGAUACCCGAGUAGUC
This 441-nucleotide ribosomal RNA is filed under the name uncultured bacterium. Its description in RNAcentral is "partial 16S ribosomal RNA". It matches the Rfam family "Bacterial small subunit ribosomal RNA", at positions 338 to 795 of the family's 1533-position model. The record is from RNAcentral.